GACGAACGCUGGCGGCAUGCCUAAUACAUGCAAGUCGAGCGAACAGAUGAAGUGCUUGCACUUCUGACGUUAGCGGCGAACGGGUGAGUAACACGUAAGGAAUCAACCUAUAAGCGGGGGAUAACAUUCGGAAACGGGUGCUAAUACCGCAUAAUAUCUUCUUCCGCAUGGAAGAAGAUUGAAAGACGGCUCUGCUGUCACUUAUAGAUGACCUUGCGGUGCAUUAGUUAGUUGGUGGGGUAAUGGCCUACCAAGACGAUGAUGCAUAGCCGACCUGGGAGGGUGAUCGGCCACAUUGGGGCUGAGACACGGCCCAAACUCCUACGGGAGGCAGCAGUAGGGAAUCUUCCGCAAUGGGCGAAAGCCUGACGGAGCAAUGCCGCGUGAGUGAAGAAGGCCUUCGGGUCGUAAAACUCUGUUAUAAGAGAAGAACAAAUUGUAGAGUAACUGCUACAGUCUUGACGGUAUCUUAUCAGAAAGCCACGGCUAACUACGUGCCAGCAGCCGCCGUAA
RNAcentral lists this ribosomal RNA (513 nucleotides) under uncultured bacterium. RNAcentral describes it as "partial 16S ribosomal RNA". It matches the Rfam family "Bacterial small subunit ribosomal RNA", at positions 28 to 523 of the family's 1533-position model. The record is from RNAcentral.